CACGUAGGGGGCAAGCGUUGUCCGGAUUUAUUGGGCGUAAAGAGCUCGUAGGCGGCUUAGUAAGUCGGGUGUGAAACCUCCAGGCUCAACCUGGAGACGCCACCUCAUACUGCCGUGGCUAGAGUCCGGUAGGGGAGCAUGGAAUUCCUGGUGUAGCGGUGAAAUGCGCAGAUAUCAGGAGGAACACCAGUGGCGAAGGCGGGUUGCUGGGCCGACACUGACGCUGAGGCGCGAAAGCCAGGGGAGCGAACGGG
Molecule: ribosomal RNA, 254 nt
Filed under: uncultured bacterium
Lineage: Bacteria
Description: partial 16S ribosomal RNA
Rfam family: Bacterial small subunit ribosomal RNA
Source: RNAcentral